This 71-nucleotide transfer RNA is filed under the name Candidatus Woesearchaeota archaeon. Its description in RNAcentral is "tRNA-Gly". It matches the Rfam family "tRNA". From Rfam's summary of the family: Transfer RNA (tRNA) molecules are approximately 80 nucleotides in length. Their secondary structure includes four short double-helical elements and three loops (D, anti-codon, and T loops). The record is from RNAcentral. Lineage: Archaea; Nanobdellati; Candidatus Woesearchaeota.
GCGCCUGUAGUUUAGUGGUAGAAUCGGAGCCUUCCAAGCUUCUGGCCUGGGUUCGAAUCCCAGCAGGCGCA